AAAUCCUCAAAUCUGCGGUGUUGUUAGAUUAAAUUCGGACAACGUUGCAGAUUUGGAUAGUUGGACCUCUUGAUCGUUCGGUCAAAGGUCUAAAAUCAAGUGUUCGGAGCUGUUUUCCUCGAGAUUGCUGGUCUCCAGAUGAAUGAACUGUGUUUAAAACCACGGAUUUAAGGCGUCUGUAGAUGUGAUUUCGUUGUGGGAACGGUUUUUUCCGAUUAGCAUUUGCCAAACACAUGUUGUUUUGCAAAACAUCAGAUGUGGGUGUUGCAUCCAUUUCUGAAC
This 282-nucleotide unclassified non-coding RNA is filed under the name uncultured Sonoraphlyctis. Its description in RNAcentral is "sequence contains ITS2". The record is from RNAcentral. Lineage: Eukaryota; Fungi; Chytridiomycota; Chytridiomycetes; Rhizophlyctidales; Sonoraphlyctidaceae.